Long non-coding RNA from Bubalus bubalis (water buffalo), 756 nucleotides. RefSeq lists it as uncharacterized. The record is from RefSeq and is a predicted model, not a curated record. The transcript has 2 exons. NCBI's taxonomy places the organism in Eukaryota, Metazoa, Chordata, Mammalia, Artiodactyla, Bovidae.
GCCACUAACACUCACACACUAAGUAGCAGAGGUGGAGAUUACUGUUUGGUAUUUUAAACUGCUCAUGGCAGAUCAACUGGUGUGAUAGCUCAAUGUUAUCUAAAGCAGUGAGUCCAAAGUCCUAGGCCACUCAAAUGUUAUUAACACUUUAAUUGAAUUCCAGUAUUUUUAUAAUAAAUGCUUCUCAGAUUUACUCAGAGCUUCCCAGUUAGCUCAAAUGGUAAAGAAUCUGCCUGCAAUGCAGGAGACCUGGAUUUGAUCCCUGGGUUGGAACGAUUCCCUGGAGAAAGGCAUGGCAACCCACUCCAGUAUUCUUGCCUAUAGAACCUCAUAGACAGAAGAACCUGGAAGUCGACAUUCCAUGGGGUUGCAAAGAAUUGGACAUGACUGAGCAACUGAACGCACACAAAUUUACUCAGGUGCCAAAGAUACAGUGGGAUACAGCAGACAGACGUCCCUGCCGUCACGCAGCCUCCAGUCACUGGGCUGAUACAGACAAUCAGCUAACAAGGCCGUGGUCUCCUUUCAAAGAAAGUCCCAUUGGCAAGAGGCCUAAAGGAGAUGAGAGAGCAGGCCACAGAGAUACAAGUGGAAGAUCUGGAAACUAGUGCAGCUCUUUUGUGAUGCUGGUUUUCUUUGUACCACUAUUCUCUAUUACCCAUUGGUUGGAUAUAGCACAAAUAGAACAGUCUCAAGGCUUCAGUAAAAUUUAUUUUAUAGUUAAAACAAUAAACUAGGCACAAGAUUGGAGGCUUA